Molecule: long non-coding RNA, 1446 nt
Organism: Dicentrarchus labrax (European seabass)
Lineage: Eukaryota; Metazoa; Chordata; Actinopteri; Moronidae
Exons: 3
Source: RefSeq, a predicted model, not a curated record
GCACAUGCACACGCAGGCACGCACACACACACACGUUAACAUGAGCAGCAAAUAUUUACCUUUUUGAAGUGGGGCAGUUAUACUUGGGGUGAGCAAAAGUCCAACAGCAGGACAGGAAAUCUCAAAUCUCAGCUGGAAGUGGCGUUUGAGUUUGUUAACUGGUACGUGGAAACACCGAUAAACCGAGUUAGUUAAACAACGUGAGCACCGAAUAUUUUUCACGACCUGAAGCGACGUGCUCCCACCGUUGGCAGGUGAUCUUGAAUGUGGCAUCCUACAUCAGCAGGGCAGCCGUAGCCUAGCAACGCAAAAGAGUGAGCAGAGGCAAAGCCGCCGCAGUUUAAAUGACCCGCCAUAUUGAAAAGUGUGUUUGAUAUACACCGAGGUGCCAGUUUAUCAGGCUCGGGGUCCAGUCCCUGCAGAGUAACACCUCCCCCUGUAGGAUCAAGGCAGGACUUCAACCUGGAAGCCUCAAACGCCUGGCUGCAUCUCACGAAAGGCUUCUGAGUGUCAACUGACUCCCCUGUGGGCUGCUGUUCCCUGCCAGGCAGAUCAUGGGACAGUGCAGGUGGCCUACUAAAACACUAGGAGCCUUGUUUGAAAAGACAGGCUACAAGGUAGAUAGACUGUCUGUGCUGUGCUGUGCUUCAACCCAGAACAAGGCUGUGAAGAUGACUGUGCAUUAACUCCACAACAGAGACUCUAAAUGGAAAUGUCAUAACUGUGAUUAUAGCAAUAAUGCUGUUGGCUUUGAUGAUGAAGAGUUUGGCAUUAGUGGUGAAGAAAGAGUAUCUCACUAGACUACAGUGUUUUCAUCAUAUUUAUAGCUCAAUUUCUGUAUCUCUACACAGUAAAGAUUGUGAAUAAACACACUGAAGAUUUGUAAGAAGAUACAUCUAUCAUAAUAAUUUCCUCUUCUCUGCUGGUGAAGUUCAGUUGCAAAUCAAAUAUUAAGCAAAUUUUCCUUUAGAUUUCAAAAUUCACACAAAUUACUAUUGCUUCUAGUGGAAAAUUAAUCAUUAACCACAUCCUGUCUACCAGUGGAGAGACUUUCAGCAGCAUUACUCAAAAUUAGUAAAAGGUAUUUAAAAAAAAAUAGUUCUAUAAAAAUGGUGUACACAUCCCUGGACAAAAAUGUGUUUGUUUUAUUUGAGGUGAAACGCAGGUGAAUCAUCAUUUUCCAUUUUACCUAUUUAGAGUUACAGUCAUGCCAGCGGCUCUGUCAGGCUGUACUUUGAGCUAAGUGCUAACACCAAUAUGCUAACAUGCUCUCAAUGAGUGUGCUACCAUGCAAACCCUGGUGACAUGAACCCACUGUAUAAUCUGUGCUCAACUCCUACCGCCUCUGUCCUGCAGCCACAACCUGGCCUUAAUUCUCAACCCAAAUUUCACCCUCGUCUUCGGCUUUAACCGCAAAACUUAACCGCCUCCGCCUCUACUGACCAU